RNAcentral lists this ribosomal RNA (253 nucleotides) under uncultured bacterium. RNAcentral's name for it is "partial 16S ribosomal RNA". It matches the Rfam family "Bacterial small subunit ribosomal RNA", at positions 524 to 776 of the family's 1533-position model. The record is from RNAcentral.
UACGGAGGGUGCAAGCGUUAUCCGGAUUCACUGGGUUUAAAGGGAGCGCAGGCGGAUUGGUAAGUCAGUGGUGAAAGGCUUAAGCUUAACUUGGGAACUGCCAUUGAUACUAUCAGUCUUGAAUGUUGUUGAGGUUUGCGGAAUGGGCCAUGUAGCGGUGAAAUGCAUAGAUAUGACCCGGAACACCUAUUGCGAAGGCAGCAGGCUAAACAAAUAUUGACGCUGAGGCUCGAAAGCGUGGGGAUCAAACAGG